GACAGAGGUGCCGAGCGUUAGGCGGAAUCACUGGGCUUAAAGCGUGUGUAGGCAGACGGGUAAGUACCUUGUGAAAUCCCACGGCUCAACCGUGGAACUGCUGGGUAUACUGCCUGUCUUGAGUCAUCUAGGGGCGAGCGGAACAAAUGGUGGAGCGGUGAAAUGCGUAGAUAUCAUUUGGAACGCCAAUGGUGAAAACAGCUCGCUGGGGAUGUACUGACGCUGAGACACGAAAGCCAGGGGAGCAAACGGG
RNAcentral lists this ribosomal RNA (253 nucleotides) under uncultured bacterium. RNAcentral describes it as "partial 16S ribosomal RNA". It matches the Rfam family "Bacterial small subunit ribosomal RNA", at positions 524 to 776 of the family's 1533-position model. The record is from RNAcentral.